UCAAAGGUUGCUAUAUAGAGAAAACAAUGGACAUUAUAUCUCAGUAUCUAGAGACCAAUAUAUUAAUUGGUUAGCAGGCCAGAAAAAUUAGUUACUAGAUUUUAAAGACAUUUUUAUUAUGAACAAAUUUAAAUAAUGUAUUAUAGAUUUAAAGUCAUGUGAAUCAAAAGGCACUUGGACUAAUUUUUUUAUAAGUCAAGUUAGUACCAUGUAAGCAGACUAUAUAUAAGCUAUAUAUAUAUAAACAUAGGUGUAUACAAGAAAAAAAUUAAAACCUAGAAUUAACGUUUGCUAGUUUUAUAAGCCAGACAUUCCAUGCUAGUUUUAUAAGCCAGAAAUUUGCAUUUCCAAAGUUGAAACUAGGAAGAAAUUUGCAUCUUAAAGAAUGAGGUUAGCAAACUUGAAUGGGGAAUUUGUUUGCCAAAGAUAGAAAUAUUUCAGAGAAAAUUAAAAGCCCUAAUCAGACAAAACAAAAUAUAUAUAAUUUAGCCAGAUGCAAUGGUGCAUGACUGUAAUUCUAGUGACAAGGUUGAGGCAGGAGGAUCACAAGUUCAAGGCCAGUUUGGGCAACUUAGUGAUAUACUGUCUCAAAGUAAAAGACAAAAAGGGAUGAACUGUGGAUGUAGCUCAGUGGUAGAACACCCUGAGUUUAACCUCCAGUAUUCCCCCUCCAAAAUAUAUAGGCAAAUAGGUUUUAUAUUCAAAUAUAUCUUUGAAGAAAAAUGGAAGAAACUUCAUUCCAUCUUUAAAAUCCCUGACAAUUAGCAAAAUUUUUAAAGGAGAGGAGGCAAGGGAAUGAGUGACAAAAGGACUGGAAUUAUACAUAUGUAGAUGCAGGUAGGCCUGAAUGGGUAAUCUUUCCAUCUUUGGGCUUGUCAGUUUGGGGGGUAGUGGUCACAGUCCCUCCAACCUCCCCUCUUAGCAUGAGGAAUGUGUUCCCAGUUUGGGUGAGGAGUGGCAUCCAAAUUUUAUCUAUUGCAAUAAUUAGAGCUGAAGGUGUAGCUCAGUGGUAUCGUGCCAUGCAUAGCAUGCAUGGGGCCUUGGGCUCAAUCCCCAGUAUCAAUAAAUUUAAAAACUAUUUUAUAAUGGGUGGAAAGGGGGAUGUUUUAAUUCUGUUUGCAUGCUUAAUUUUUUGUUUCUGUCCUCAAUUCAUUUUGUUUACCAUUGUGUCUCCUGUCCCACAGUGUCUAUCCUAAGUGUGGCAUUUAGAGAAUAAAUUUGUUGGGUGAGUAAAUGAAUGAAUGCUCACAGGUAAACAAUUCUAACAGAGAGGGGCUAUAAUGGAGUUUGAGCAUAAGGAACUUUGUAGGACAUGAGGAUUAACUUUGAGCAGUUCAUAGAACAUUUCACUGAGUGAAGCUGUUUCCUUUCAGAAUUUUCUCUUUUUUUAAUAUUUUAUUUUAUUAGUUUUAGGUGGACACAAUAUCUUUAUUUUUAUUUUUAUAUGGUGCUGAGAAUCGAUUCCAGUGCCUCAUGCAUGCCAGGCAAGCGCGUAUUCAAUUGAGCCACAUCCCCAGCCCCAGUUCCAGAACUUUCUAAGUGUAUUCAAAGCCAUCAGAGGGCACUGCAUCUGGGAACGAAAUAAAGUGAUGCUAGAUAGCCACCAGAUGGCGAUAUUGCAGAGAGAUUUGAGCAGCAGAGGAAAUGGCCAGCCCUAUUCCAGCUAAGAGCCCAUAUUUACUUCUAAAUGAGUUUUUGUGUCCUGUCCACAAAAGUUAAAGCUGUGAUUUCUUUUCUUUUGUUUUGCUAGUUUUGAAACACUUCAAUUCCUGCCCAAGGCUGCUCUGGGAGACAUCUGGUGUUCUAGUUGGUCAGUCAUUACCAGCCAGAGAAGAGAAAUGAUGCCGAGUAUUUUUCCAGUCCUUCAGAUGCUGGAAUUCUAAUUCCCACUCCACUGAUCUGCUGUCUCCCAUGUAAUGCCCUUAUGUGGAUGGAUUUAAAGAGGUGAGGAGAGAAGCAAACUUGUAAACACACAUGCGCGUGCGUGUGUGUGUGUGUGUAUACUAAUGAUUGUACCCGGAGCGCUCUCUAUCACUGAGUUACAUUCCCCAACCCUUUUUAUUAUUUUAUUUUGAUACGGGGUCUUGCUAAAUUACUGAGGCUGGCCUUGAACUUGAAAUCUUCCUGCCUCGGCCUCCUGAGUUGUUGGGGUUUCAGGUAUGUGCCACUGUACCCAGAUAAAACUGUUAUUUUUUGAGACAUCAGGUACUAUAGUCAGACAUUUUAUAUAAUUAUUUAAUUGCCAUGAAACCCUGAGAGAUUAAUUUUAUCUUUCAUUUUAUACCUCAGCCUGCUUCAGCAAUUAAUAACAGGCAUUAUCAGUCCUCUUUCAGUUAUACCCUCAUCUGACAACACAUAUUAUUUUCAGACAGCUCCCAGACAAUCUCAUCAUAUUAUUUCAUUUUGAAGUACUUUUUUGCUGGGCACAGUGGCACACACCAGUAAUCCCAGCAGCACAGUCUGAGGCAGGAGGGUCACAAGUUUGAAGCCAGUCUCAUUAACUUAGUGAGGUCCUAAGAAACUUGGUGAGACCCUGUCUCAAAUAAAAAAAUAAAAAGGGCUAGAGAUGUAGCUCAGUGAUGAAGCAUCUCUGGGUUCAAUCCCCAGUACACAACAAACAAAAAAACCUCCCAAAACUCAAUAGCUCUAAAAGAUAAACACUCUUUAACACAAGGCAAUAACAUUAUAACACUAAAAAACCCUACAGUAAUUCCUUAACAUCAUCAAAUAUCUAGCCCUGUUAAAUUUACCUGGUUUCUCAUCUUUUAAAAUUGCAUGUAUUUUAUUCAAAUCAGGAUUCAGACAGGUUUAUAAAUUGCAUUUAUUUAAUAGAUGAGUUAUGAGUCUUUUUAUAUAGAAGGAGACUGAAGAGAAGAGUAUCUAUUCAGAAUUCAGAUAAAAUUCUCUUCUGAAUUAAACCUAGUACUAGAUGUUGGGGGUCACAAAGAUUAGGAAGAUAUAGUCCCUAACGAACUCAGUUGUGCGCUCCUAUUAAUGUUCUGUGAGUAUAUUUAUCACAGGACUUAUCACUUAUGAUUAGUAUGCAUUUAUGUGUCUAUCAUUCCGGGUGGUAAGUCCACUAAGAGGUAGGGAUGAUUUCAUGUUCAACAUUGCAGUUUUUAUACUUAGCAUAGAUCUUGGCAUACAACAGGGGAUGGAGUAAUUUUGUCUAACUGGGAAUCAAUAAAGAGUUUCCAGCCAGGCACAGUGGCACACACCUGUUAUCUCAGUGGCUUGGGAGGCUGAGGAAGGAGGAUCAUGAAUUCAAAGCCAGCCUCAGCAAUAGCGAGGUACUCAGCCACUCAGUGAGACUCUAAGUAAAAUACAAAAUAGGGCUGGGGAUGUGGCUCAGUGGUUCAGUGCCUCUAAGUUCAAUCCUCAGUACUAAAAGAACAAACAAACAAACAAACAAAUAAAACCAAAAACAAAAAAACAGUUUCUAGCAGGGCAGUGACAAUGUAAAGUUUUCACUAGUGGUAGAUAAAAGGUUGUCAGUUGAUUUCAAAGCAUAAUGACUGGAGACAGACUAUUGCAGAGUCCGGGCUAGAAAGGAUGAGAGUGAGUAUGGAGAGAAGAUGGAUUGGAGAGUUACUGAGUAUGUAAACGGUCAGGAUUGAGUAAUUUCUUACAUGCAGAGAAUGAAGAGUUUCAGGCUUGGGUGAUGGUGGUGUCACCAACAAAUUCAGAAUGAAGAGGAAAAGCAGGUUUAAGAUGCGGAAGAAAAGUUCAGUUUGGGACAUGCUGAGGUUAAGGUGACUGUUCAGGAGAUGUCAUCUAUAGAGAUGUUUGCAACCAUCUGGGUGUGGUGGUAUACACCUGUAAUUCUAGCGGUUUAGGAGGCUGAGGUAGGAGAAUCCCAAGUUCAAAGCCAACCUCCGCAACUUAGUGAGUCCCUAAGCAACUCAGUGAGACCCUGUCUCAAAAUAAAAAUAUAAAAAAGGUUAUUUUAAGCCAAAACUCAUGAGAGAGGUCAGGAGUAAAGAACUAGGAGUCAUGAGCAUAUAGAUAGAGCUUAAAAUUGGAUGCCAUCACUCAGGGACGGGACAUGCAGCAAAACAGGAAGUGGGUUUAGGAUGGAACUCUGUGGAACCUUACAAGGAAAUUGAAGAAUGAGAAAGAAAAGGAAUAGCAAGGGGAAUUGGAAGAAGACCAAGAAAGUAUGGUACCUCGGCAGCCAAAGGAGUUCAGGAGGUGGGCAAUGGGAGUAGUUAACACUUGAGAGGCAGUUAGGGAGGUGAUGGCAGAGAAUAGUUGAGUAUGGCUGGGGUGUGGGGCAUUGUAGAAGAGUGGCAGGAGGUUAGUCCAGAAAGGUCAGUUAAGCCUUUAUCCAAAAGGGCCUUGGCCACCAGGUGAAGGGGUUAAGGCUUCCUUUUGGUAAAUGGGAGUCACUGAGGAGAUUCAAGUAGGAGUGACCUCGUUAGAUCGAGGUAUUUUAGAAAAGUCAGGUUGAGGCAGCGUUUAGAGGAAUGGGACUGGGGGCAGGCCUCAUUAAGGCAAAGUAGGAAUAGGUUGUGGAGGAAGGGAGAGUUUCCCAAAAUCUUUAGUAGAUAAAAUUUGCAGCCUCCCCAACCCAAAAAAUAGCUAAUGCUCACUGAGCCAUGUUCUAGGUAGUAUUCUAAGUACAUACAUCGAUUAUCUUGCUAAAUCCUUACAACCAACCUGUGAGAUAGAUGUCAUUAAUGUCAUUUUAUGCACAAUGAAACAGGAACAUAGAGAUAAAGAAAUUUGGUGAACAGAGCUAGUAAGUGGCAGAGCAUAAAUUCAAACUCAAGUGGCUUGACUUUUUAUUUUUUAUUUUUUUGGUACUGGGGAUUGAACUCAGGGGCACUCAAUCACUGAGCCACAUCUCCAGCCCUAUUUUGUAUUUUAUUUAGAGGCAGGGUCUCACUGAAUUGCUUAGCUCCUCACUUUUGCUGAGGCUGGCUUUGAACUUGCAAUCCUCUUGCCUCAGCCUCUUGAGCCACUGGGAUUACAGGCAUGUGCUGCUGCACCCAGCUAAGUGGCUUGACUCUUAACCCAUACUGUUUUUUUUUAAAUAAUUUUUUUAGUUAUAGAUGGACACAAUAUCUUUAUUUAUUUAUUUUUAUGUGGUGCUGAGGAUCGGACCUAGGGCUUCCCACAUGCUAGGCAAGUGCUCUACCACUGAGCUACAACCCCAGCCCUUAACCCUCACUCUUAACGUCCUUGUUGUGCCAUGAUUGGAUGUGGGAAGUGUGGGGUUGUUAGUUCGGAUUAGGUUGAGCUGUACGUUAUCAGAUAGCCAAAAUAACGAUGGGUUAUGUAUAAUUGUAAUGUACCAAUAAAAAUAUGGAAAUAAAUAUCUCAAUGUAAAAGAAAAUAAAAGAAAGAGUAUAGGGGCUGGGGAUGUGGCUCAAGCAGUAGUGCUCUUGCCUGGCAUUUGUGUGGCCCGGGUUCGAUCCUCAGCACCACAUACAAACAAAGAUGUUGUGUCUGCUGAAAACUAAAAAAAAUAAAUAAAGAUUUAAAAAAAAAAAGAUUACAGAUCAGGGCUGAGAAUAUAGCUUAGUCAGUAGAGUGCUUGUUUUUUUUUUUAAAAAAAAAAGAAAGAGUAUAGUAUAAUGCAUUAAAAAACAACAACAACAACAACAGCAAAAUAGCCACUGGCUAAACUGGAUAGAAAUUCAUUUCUCUUUCAAAGGGUUUAGUGUCCAAUCUUCAGGGUAUAAGAUACAACUCCAAUGAGCACAUUCAUGUUCCAAGCAGCAAAAUGCUAUGUUGCAGGGGUAAGGAGAGAACAGAUAUUAGGUGAAAGCUAGCAGUCUUUGCUAUAAGGGAGAUUCCAAGACUCUGACAUUUGCAUAGAGGAUUGCAUGUAGGAUGGUAUCAUCCCCAAUUUAAGUGGAGAAUACAGGGAACCUAUUAGACCUUUAUGUUUGUUUUCCUAGGGCCUUUGGCUUCACCUAGAAGCAAAAGCCUGUUUAUUUGUAUUAUUUUGGUUUUUGGUGUACUGCCCCUUUCCUAUCUAGCCAUGCAGUUCUAGUGAGAUCUUCCAAUCAGUACUCUGUCUCUCUGGCAAACAAUUUGAUUGAUUGAGGUAUGGCCAUGUGAUCCAGGCCAGGACAAUCAGAAUACUUCAUUUUAAUUACUUUUUUUGACUUAAUUGAGGAAAAAAUUGUGACAUGACUGGAAAAUGUAUGGCCAGAAACUGCUGAUGGCCCCCUUUUUUUUAAUUACUUUUUUUUUUUAGUUGUCGAUGGACCUUUAUUUAAUUAAUUAAUUUAUAUGUGGUGCUGAGCUCAGAACCCAGUGCCUCACACAUGCUAGGUGGGUGCUCUACCACUGAGCUAUAACGCCAGCCCACAGCUGAUGGCCCUUUUAUGGUCAAAGGGAGAAAAUCUGUCUAAAAUAAUGCCAAAGGCUGAAUGUUUUUUUCUGAUAAGUGGAUGCUGUUCCAUAAUGGGGGCGGGGGAAGAAUGGAGGACCUUUGGAUUGGGAAGAGGGGAGUGAGGGGAGGGGAGGAGAUAUGAAGGUAGGAAAGAUGGUGGAAUGAGACGGACCUUAUUACCCUAUGUACAUGCAUGAUUAUAAGAUUCGUGUUCAAGUUCCUAGUCUUACUUGUCUUUGAUGCCCAUAUGCCCCUAUGAUUAUGUGAGGCUUCUAAUAGAUUCCCUCUUUUGCCCAAGUUUAAGUAGCAUUUCUGUUACUUGAUAUCAUUGAAGUCUUGAUAAAAACUGUUGUAAAAGGUAAUUCUAAAAUCAAUGUAGAUGUGUUUAGGAUCCGUGUGUGUAUUGGUGGGAGGUGAGAUUAUAGUAAAUAGUAACCAGGAGCAGGGAGAUAGUUUAUGAGACUGUUUCAGUAAUCCACCUGAAGGUAAUAACAAUCUGAGCUAAGGCACAUCAGGGGGCCAGGCUUGCCAUGACCCGUUUCUUAUAAGCCUUGAGCCAGCUGCCCAUAUCUAUGGGCUGGUCAUCUUUAUAUGGUUGCAGUGUAACUAGUCACUAUUUAUUAUGGGCAUUUUCCCUAUGUCCUUAGGCAUAGUUAUAAUAGCUGCUUAAAAAUUCUUGUUUGUUAAUUCUGAAAAUGUUGGUCAUCUUGGGGUCACUUUUUAUUGAUUGCCUUUCUUCUUCAGUAUGGGUAAUAUAUUCCUGUUUCCUAUAUAUCCAUUCAUUUUGACUUGUCUCCUGAACAUUGUAGAGGAUGCAAAUCUGUAAUUCAUUUUUUUCCCUAUGAAAAGUAUUGAUUUUUGUUUUUGUUUUAGCAGACAGUUAAUAUAACUCAAACUCCAUACUCAGUCUCUCUUAUGGUAGGCACCAACUGAAAUACCUAUUCAGUUCUUUGAAAUUUACAUGGACUGUUUGAAGAUGGCCCCACACACUUAUAAUUCAGAGGUUUGUCAGACUUUGAGGCAUUUUAUAUGCAGAAUUUAGGGCUCUACCUAUCAAGCUUGGUCCAUUCUAGGAUUUUACCCCUACUCUUUCCAGCUUCUGUGGAAACCCUGAGCUCUGUCCUCUGAUUUUCAAGUUAGUAAGAUUCAAUUUCAGCCAGCCACCAGAGCACUGACUGGGGCCUACUCUGUGGCUAAAAGUCUUAAAAAUGGGAAGCUCAUCUAGAUCUGAUCCCAUCUUUGAAGUGUUGAUUUUCUUCCAGUUUCUGCCUACUUGUCAAUAUUUGCAGGCAGUUAUUUUUUUUUUUAAUAUUUUGUCCAGGGUAUAUACUUGCUAUAUUUGAAGGAAGAUGAACUUGAUGAAAGCUACUUGGUCUUUUAUUGGAAGCCAAAACCUGUCAAGUCACUACUAUUAUUUAACCUGUGGCAUAUAUGGCAGGAGCACUCUAGUGCAGUAAGAAUUUGUAUGUAGGCUUUGGAUGUUUGAUCCAGAAGAUAUGACUUGAUAAAGGAAGUCUUUACAAUUAAGUAAGCUAAAGGUGAUGACAUUUUAGGAUGACACGUUUGGAGGUAUGAGGGGCUUGGUAAUCUCCCACUUGGUCUGCUGUGAACUUAAAUAAUGUCACCCUACACAGGUGGAAUCCUACUGUCACCAACCUGAGUGCCUCUCCCAUAAGGAGUUUCAUUCAUCAAACACCUCCUAUCCUAGUAUCUCUGGAUCACCUCUGCUUUUUUUUUUUUUUAAAAAAAAGCAAUAUUUGAACUUAAUGUAGUAAACUAUACUUUCUUUGCAGUUUAUAGACCAGAACAACAGGCCAAGACCACUACCCAGUCCUCUGCCAGACCUACUGUGUGGGAUGCACAGGGUAGAUAAAUUGACAAGUGUUUUACUGGGUUGGAUGGUCAGGGAUUAGUGACAAAGUAUAGGCAGGGAAAUAAAAGAGAGGAGUUAAGGACUAGCUUCAAAUUUCUGCUUUUAGCAUCUAGAUGGGUGGUAAAUAGAGGAGAGAAAAGAAAGCAAGUUUAAGGGAGAAGGUGAAUUCAGCUUUGGCCAUGUUUGAAGUAUCUGUGAGACAGUUAAGCAGAAUAUAUAUGAAUCUGGAAGGCUGAAGAGACGUCUGAGAGGGUGAUAUAUAUUGAAGAAUGACUGGCAGAUAAGCAUAUAUGAAGCUACCUGUGUAAGUGAUAUAACUGGAUAACAUAUACAGAAUGGGAACUGAUAACAAAGCCCAGUGGUAAAGCAGGGGAUACUGUAAGAAAUUAGUCACUUUGAGAGACUGAGAAGCAGUCAGAAAAGGAAAGUCAAAACAGGAAAUGUGGUAUACAGAAGCCAGGGGAGAUGAGUUUCAAGAAGGAGUUAGUGGCCAAUAGAGUUCAAUUCAGAGAAAAGCAAGGAAAGCAAGCACUAAAAAGCAUCCAUUGGAUUUAGCAUCUAAAAGAUCUUCACCUCAGAGUUCACAUUUGCAGUGGAGUGGCAGGGAGUGUGACCACAUUGUAGUGGUUUGAGGAGUACAUGGGGGUGGUAGAUAACAGCAUGUGGCUCUUAUUAAUCAUCCUUUCCAGAAACCAUUCCCCUGUGUAGUCCCCUACUCUUAAAUCUGGUGUGCUCUGUGAAAAUGUAAGGAAGUGAUGCUGCUUAAAUUCCAAGGGUAGGUUGUAAGAAGCCUUGAAACUUUUGCCUUGGCCUUUUGGAGCUCUGAACAACCACAUAAGAAAUCUGAGCACCUUGCUAAGGAGACCAAGUAAAGAAGCCCUGAGACGACAUGGAGUGAGACAGCAACACAGCUAAGCCCAAUUUCCAGAUAUCUCCACCAGGUGGCAGGCAUAGGAAUGAAGGAAGCCAUCUGGGGCCCUCCAGACCAACCUGCCAAUCAGCUGGAUACCACUGACCCCAUUAGAUACCUCAUAGGGUAGACUUGCCCACAUUCCUCACACAGUCAUGAAUAUAAUUAAAUAAUUAUUAUUUAAGCCCUAAGUUUUGGGGCGAUUUUUUUACACAUGAUGUAAAACCCGAAGAUUGGGUGUUGAAGUAGUGAGACUGUUAGUGCAUGUUAUACCUUCAAUAAGCUUGGAAAGAGAAUGAUCUAAUGGCAGCUGGAAGGUCACAAGACUGAGGGAAGAUUUUGAUAAAAAUGUUAGAGACUUGGGAAUGUGCACAGGCUGAUGGGGAAGAGCUAUGAGAAAGAGAAAAUUGAAAAUGUAGAAGAGGGAGGAGGCAGCUGAUGCAUGAAGUUCUCAUCCUAUCUGAUUUUAUUUCCUACUUUUCCAGCACAAUAGUUUUUAGACUUAUUUAAAAUGCAAUUUUAUUUUGAAAUAGUUUUAGAUUUACAGAAAGUUUGCAAAAAAGACAGUUACCAUGUGUGACCCACACUCUGGUAGAGGGUCUGAUCUUAGAAACCAGGAUAGUAGGAUACUUUAGCUUCUAAAUUAGAAAGUAUCUUCCCUCCUCUGGAUAUUUAAAAAUGCCAAGCUUUCAAACAUAUAUAAUUAUAUAAAUGUUACAUGUGUAUGUAUGUGUGUAUGUGUUUAUAUAUGUUUUACAUGUAUGUAUAGGAUAUAUAUAUAUAUAUAUAUAUAUAUAUAUAUAUAUAUAAAAUAUAUGAAAAUUUGUUGGAAAAUGUUGGAUUUACCAAGGAUUUACUGACUUAACCCAGGCCAGAAAGUGACUGAAUCUACACUCUUGAACUAAAAUCUAAGUUAUCUUUACUAAGGUCACAUUAAGAACCAUACUUCCACAGAGUGAGCUGGUCUGGGCUCAGUGGGCUCUCAAAAUAUUAUAGGAUUUAAAUUCCAUUGCCUCUUAGAUAAUUACCUAGAAAUUCUUUCCAAGAAAAAGAGCUGUUGACCUCAUACCUCUGCCUGUUGUUGUCCCACUUUCAGCAGGGACUAUGUAUUGGAUUCAUACCCCCAAGGAGGACUUGUGGUAGUUUGAGCUGGUGGUGGUUGACCCUCUGUACCAUAAAGUCACUUUGGCUUCACCUUUCACAGUAGCAGACUUCCCUAAGGAAAAGCCCGAUCAAGGCAAAGUGGAAUAGUAAUCCAAUGGAAAAAUAAACCACUUUUAAAAAACUUUCUCAUUUUGGAAAAAAUGCAAACAUAUACAAAAUUAGACUAGAAUAAUGAACCCCCAUAUUCUAGCACCAAUAAUUAAUGAUUUCUGUUCAUCCAUAAAAUGUCAUACACACGCGUGCGCGCGCGCACACACGCGCGCGCACGUGUGGGUAUGUGCAGUUGUAAGUUGUUUAAAGUAGUUGGUCCUUUUUAUUCACAGAUUUCAUAUUUGCAAGUUUACCUACUUGCUUAAACUUAUCUUUAACCCCACAAUCAGUACCUGAAGUACUUUCAUGGUCAUUCGUGGACCUGCACAGAUUGGCCAAGCACUCAAUGUUCUCAGUUGAGUUUGGAUAAAAUGACACACUGUCUUCUUGUUUUAGCUCUUAUGCCAUAUCUUUUUCAUAGUCUAUCUAAUGCCACAUUUUAUGCCUUUUGUUGAUGAUUUCACUGUUUAAAAUGGCCCCUAAUCAUUACACUGAUAUGUUGUCUAGUGUUCCUAAUUGCCAGAAGUGAUGUGCCUUAUGGAGAAAAUAUAUGUAUUAGAUAAGCUUCAUUUAGGCAUGAGUUAUAAUACUUUUGGUUGUGAGUUCAAUGUUAAUGAAUCAACAAUAUGGUACAUCCAGAAAAAGGAAGAAGAAAUUUGCCCGUUAAUAUGUGAGGCUUGGGGCCGGAGUUGUGGCUCACUGGUAGAGCACUUGGCUAGCAUGUGUAAGGCAAUGGAUUCAAUCCCCGGCAUCACGUAAAAAAUAAAGUAAAUUAAAAAUAAAAUAAAGUAAAGAUAUUGUGUUCAUUUACAACUAAAAUAAAAUAUGUGAGCCUUCUCUGGGAAGAGAUAAGAUACCAUCUUUAGUGUGAGAUGAAGCUGUGAAAUAGAUGGAAAAGCACCUAAAUUAAUGGGUUUAUGAGAUGACUGAUUUUAAAAAGCAGAGUGGAGAGCACUGUUGUGUGGCUGAAAACUAAAGUCAUUUAUGGUCAUGCUACCUGAGAGCAGGAAAAAUUUAAACCCUUCUCGCCUCAUGUUUUGUUGUAAAGAAAUAUCAUAUAUAAUUAAUUCUUUUUUAAUUUUCUUUCUUUCUUUAUUUUUGCAUUACAAUUCUUAAUACACCAUUAUAUCAUAAUUUAUCAUAUCUCUGAUUAUAUAUAAGGUAUGUUGACACCAAAUUCAAUUCUUUAAAAAUAUAGAUAAUAAAUAAGAUAUCUUUAAACAGAAACAUAUAAAACUAAUUCAUGUAUUGAUCAUUUGAAAGGAAUGAGACCAGAGGUUCACGGGAACUGAACCUUGGAGUUCUACUGUGAAUAGUUCACUAUUUGCUAAUUAAUUGUAUAAGUUGACUUUAUAUAGCCUCACUACCACAAAUAAUAAGAAUCAUUUGUGUACACCCUGACAUAGGUUGUAUGUGUGUUUGGGAAGAGUUUAAUCCAAACUGCAGAUAUGCUAACGUUUUAUUUGUAAAUAUUUUAAUGUCUCUCUAACCACAGUGGUUCUCCAAAGUGUGGUCUGAGUAACCCUGGAGACACCUGGGACCUUUUCAGGGUGUUUAGGAAUUCGUCCUUUUUCUAACUGUAUCUCCAUGAAUUCGGAUUUUUUUCGUAAAAUUCAACCAAAACAACAUAUUAGAACCUUAAAUGCAGAAGCAAAUAUGAGAAUCUAGCUGUCUUGUAUUAAUGCAGAUAUUAAAGUUAUUUGCAAAAAAUGUAAAGUGGUUCUUUUAAUAAAAUUUUAUUUACACAAAUUUGUAGUGGGUUCAUUGUUAUUUUUUCUAUUUUUCUAUUUUUUUCUUUUUGGUUCUGGGAUCAAAUGCAAGACCACACAAGUGCUCUACCACUGAGCAACACCCCAGUCACUAUUGUUAUUUUAAAGGGUUAGUAAACAUUUUUACAAUUUCAGUUUUUAUUUCUAAAACAUUAUAUUUCUAUCUCCUACAUGAACAAAAGCUAUUUAGGAUGUAAAAUAUUAAUAUUUUUAUCAUAUGCAUGUAACUUUAUUUUAAAAAUAUAAAUAUAAAAAUAUAAAUUAAAAAAUAUUUUGUUUAUUUAGUUGUAGUUGGACACAAUACCUUUAUUUUUAUUUUUACGUGGUGCUGAGGAUUGAACCCAGGGCCUCGCUCACACUAGGUGAGUGCUCUACUGCUGAGCCACAGCUCCAGCCCAGGUCAGUAUUUUAAAAAGAAACAUUAGUGCACUUUCCUUCAGCAUACCUAUUUGCAAAACCUAUCAAAAGGUGGAGGACUUUUUAAACUGCCUCACAUAUGCAUGAAUAGCAAUUAACACAGUAAGAACAAUUCUGGUUAUGAAAUGUACCAAGGUAAAUUUCUGCGACUCUGGAAUUUGAAAUAGUUUUCUUUAAAAAAUAUUUUAAGGGGCUGGGGUUGUGGCUCAGGGGUAGAGUGCUUGCCUAGCAUGCAUGAGGCACUGGGUUUGAUCCUCAGUACCACAUAAAAAUAAAUUAAAAAAUAAAGGUAUUGUGUACAUUUACAACUUUAAAAAAUAUUUUUAAAAUAUUUUAAAAUAAUUAUAGACUCACAGAAAUUGCAAAAGUAGUAUAUAGAGACCCAUGUACCUAUCACCAAGCUCUCCCUCUUAGUGAUAUGUCAUAUAGCUAGCAUAAUCUCAAAUUCAGGAAAUUUGUAAUGGUACAAUAAUAUUAACUAGAAUGUGGGCUUUAUUCAGUUUUCAUCAUUUUUACAUGUGUUCAUGUACAAGUGGUUCUCUGUGGUUUUAUCCCAUGUAUACACUUAGUGAGUUGGGUGAUCAUCAGCACUGCCAAGGUGUAAAACUCUUCAGUUGCCUCCUUUGUAUUUUCCAUUUAUAUUCAUAUCCAUACUGCUUUACUUUUACACCUUGUCAGUGAUUGAUCUGUUCUCAAUCUCUAAAUUUUUGUAAUUUUGAGAAUGUUAUGCAAAUGAAAUCCUGUACUUUGGGGAUUGACUUUUUUUUUCACUAAGUAUAAUGUUCUUGAGGUCCAUAUGGGUUGUGAUUGAAAGACUUAUGGAUUACCUGGUUUUGCUAUUGUAAAGUUACCAUGAACAUUUACAUACAGGUUUUUGUGUGAACAUAAAUUAUCAUUUCUCUUGGAUAAAUGCCCAGUGACUUGUGGAGUUCUAUGAUAAGUACAUGUUUAGUUAUGCACAUAUCAGAAUGAGCCUUGCCAUUGUAUAUUCCUAAAAGCAAUGUAUGAAAAAUUUCCAUUGCUAGGCUGGGUGUGGUGGUACACACUUGUAUUACCAGUGACUUAGGAGGCUGAGGCAAGGAGAUGGCAAGUUCGAGACCAGACUUGGAAACUUGGUGAGAUCCUCAACAAUUUAGUGAGACCCUGUCUCAAAAAUAAUAAAAAAAAAAAAGGCUGGGUACAGUGGCACAUGCCCAUAAUCCUAGCAGCUCAGGAAGCUGAGGUAGGAGGAUCACAAGUUCAAAGCCAGCCUCAGCAACUUAGCGAGGCCCUAAGCAAUUCAGAACCUGUCGCUAAAUAAAAAUAUAAUACAAGACUUGGGGUGUGGCUCAGUGGUUAAGCUCCCUUAAGUUCAAUCCCUGGUACCAAAAAAAAAAAAAGAAAGAAAGAAAGAAAAUUUAAAAAUGACUGGGGAUAUAGCUCAGAAGUAAAGCACCCCUGGGUUCAAUCCCCAAGUACCAAUUAAAAAAUUCAGUUGCUAACAUUUAUUAUUACCAUUAUUUAUAUUAUCCAUUCUCAUUGGUGUGGUUUUACUUUGCAUUUCCCUAAUGGCUAAUGAUGAUGUACAUAUUUUCAUGUUCUUCUUUGUCAUCUGUAUAUUCUCUUUUCUAUCCAUACCUUUUGCUUAUUUUCCAAAUGGAUCUUUAUUUUUAACUAUAGGAUUUUGAGAGUUCUUUAUAUAUUCGGUAUACCAAUCCUUUGUUGUAUAUAUAGUUUGCAAAUAUGUUCUUCCAAUCUGUAGUUUGUAUUUUCAACCUCUUAAUAGGAUCUUUUCAGCAUAAUAACUUUUAAUUUUGUUAGUGUAAUAUGUAAUUUUUCAUGUUUUUAUUGUUUCAUGAUUUUUAUAUUUAAGUCCACAGUCCACUUUGAGUUUAUUUUUUUUCAAACUAUUAAAGAGAUUUGUUUUUGAAAUUUCUUUUAGUUGUUGAUUGACCUUUUUUUAUUUUUUUCUUUAACAACAGAAAUUUACUCUCUUGCAUUUCUGUUUUUUUUUUGGUUAUAGAUGGACACAAUGCCUUUAUUUAUUUAUAUGUGGUGCUGAGGACUGAAGCCAGCACCUCACAUGUGCAAGGUAAGUUCUCUACCACUGAGCCACAACCCCAGCCCUGCUUAUUUAUUUAUUUAUUUAUUUGUAGUGCUGAGAAUCGAACCCAGUGCCUCACAUAUGCUAGGCAAGUGCUCUACCAAUGAGCUACAACCCCAGCCUCUUGAUUUUAUUUUCGUAGAUGGUGUGAGGUUCAAUUUUUUUCCUAUGGAUGAACAUUUAUUCCAACACCAUUUUUUAAAAAAUUCUAUCCUUCUUCCAUUGAAGUUUGUUACACCAUUUGUAAAGUCAGUUGAGUGUACUUGUGCUGGUCUGUUACUCAUUUCCCUUGAUCUGUAUCUGUCACUCCCCAAGGAUCCUACUGUCUCAAUUUACUGUAUCCAAUAUUUUAACUUGCAAUAAAGAUAUUCCCCCAGUUUAUUCUUCUCUUUAAAAGUUGUUUUAACUAUUCUAGUUGCUUUACCUUUUCCUAUAGGUUUUGUAAGCUUGCCUAUAUUAAUGAUAAAUCUUGGUAAUAUUUGGAUAAUAAUUAUGUUAAAUGUACAGAUCACCUUGGGGGAAAUUUACAUCUUUACUAUAUUGAGUGUUCUAUUCAAUGAACACUGUAUAUUUUUCUUUUUCUUUUUUUGUACCAGGGAUUGAACUCUGGGGCACACCCCCCCCCUUUUUUGAGAGGGUCUCGCUAAUUUGCUGGAGCUGGCUUUGAACUCAUGAUUCUUCUGCCUCAGCCUUCUGAGCUGCUGGGAUUACAGGAGUGGGCCACCAUGCCCAGCUAUUUUUCCAUUUUUAAAGAAAUGUUUUUUCUUUCAUCAACAUUUUAUAGAAAGGGAUGUACUUAUGACAUGAGAGGACUGGUGAAGUCUCAGUGCUUCAUCCCAGCAAGGAGCAGGCAUGCUGCUUGCUGUGUGAAUUCGGUAGCCUCAGUUUCCUCAUUUGUGGUCACAGCUCCUUCAUAAUAUCAUUGUGAAGAUUUAAAGAGACAGUGGAGGUCUGAGUCCUGCCUCUGUCUUCUUUACUUUCCUCCCUUUCACCCUUUGCUUUUUGGGCCUUUCGAGCCCUCGUCUGUGACCCCCAUAGGCACUAAUAGUGGGAAUGUCUUCCAAGGGGUGUCAUGAGGAAUGAAGGUGAGAAUUGACUGCCUGAUAAUAUAGGGACAUCUAGGCAGUGAUUAUUAGUAGUAUUCUGCCUUUCUCUGAGAGAAACUUGAUGGAAACCAAGAAGAUAGCUCCAAGAGCCGGUAGCAAGAUCUUGCUGUAGGUUUGGGACAAUGGAGAAAGUUCAUCAUAGCACAACAGACAAUAGGAAAGAAAAUCUCCAAACCUUGUGACAGCUAUGACCCAACUUUCACAUAAAAAGAAUUAAACUGUCUGUGUAUAAAAGCAGAUUUAGAGGCAUACACACCAAACUGGACUGCCAGGAGUUGAGGGACUUUUACAUUUACUUUUUCCCCGUUUGUGCUUGAAAGCUAUUUCUUUUUAACUGAGUUUGUGUUGUACUAAACAAUAUCAAAAUAAAUUAUUUUUCUUUUUUUUAGAGAGAGGAGAGAGAGAGAUGGAGAGAGAGAGAGAGAGAGAGAGAGAGAGAGAGAGAGAGAGAGAGAGAAUUUUUUAAAUAUUUAUUUCUUUUAGUUAUUGGCGGACACAACAUCUUUCUUUGUAUGUGGUGCUGAGGAUCGAACCCGGGCCGCACGCAUGCCAGGCGAGCGUGCUACCGCUUGAGCCACAUCCCCAGCCCCAUAAAUUAUUUUUCAAAGGCCAAUCAGUUGAAAAAAUUAACUAGUUAGCAAACUGUGCACACACAAAUAUAGUGGGAUAAUUUCCCUUAAAUUUCUCUUCCAUUCAGCUGCCUGCCUGGCCUUUGUGCUUCUUCAUCUCCUUGGCUCUCCAGCUUCCUAUCCACCAAAGUUUCUGAGUUAUCCUUGUGCAGGAGAUUUGAGUUACCCUUUCCCUUAGACCUGGGUCAUCUCACCUUGGUUCAUGGAGCCUUAAUCCCCUCCCCAAAUAAGCAAGCAUUUCACAGCUGUCUUUGUGACUGAAGACAGUUCCUUCUGUGAAAGGAAUUACUUGGUUAGCUCAUAAAGGGAUUCCCCACCCCCAAUGAUGUUGGGGAGAGUAGUCUAAAGCUAGUGACUUUAAUGAAUUCUGUGUGAAGAGGCUGGGAGGGAGGGUUUAGGUAAUCCAUUACAUGGAUGUUCAAAGUAUUUGGAGAGAAGUGUUUGGUACAGUUAUGAUGACAUUCCACAGCAUGGCACUUGUAAUGCACUAGGUACCCUUUUAAAGACUUUGCAUAUGUUCCUUCAUUUAAUCCUCACCUCAAACCUAUGAGGUGCUUCCUGUUAUUAUUUCCUUUUUACUGAUGAGGAAGUUGAAACACAGAGGUUAACUACCUUGCCCAAGUUCACACAACUAGUAGAGGCAGGAUCCGGAGGCUGAGGAAUGCUUAAGUCAUGUUCCUCCUCUCUUUGUUCAAUCAUCCAGUCCUUCCACAGACAACCUGACUGGCAACCAUUAUACCAAGUGCAAUAUUCAUAUUGGAGUCAACAUAUUAAUUUGAAGUUUUGAGCCAGUGCCAGGCUCCCAAAACCUGUCCUGGGGAAUAUAGCUUAAUUGGUACAGUAUAGCAAAAUGUCCUGCUUGUUGAAACUAAAUUUGUAGUUAUCUUCUUUUUCAUCAGUAAGUCAUUGAGGGUUGUAUCCCAGCAAAAUAGGAUAUAAGGUCUCCAAACAAAAAGGGGAUUACGGAGUUUCAUUAUAAAGAAAGUUGGAUUAGUCUUUUAGUAGUUGGGUACCUGAAGAUGUGGUAUUCAGCCAGAGUAAACACACAGUGGUUUGGACUCUGGAUGUGCAGGUUUGCAGAAGAUGAAAUUCUGUUGUUGGUCUUCAGCUGGAGAAGUAUUUGCAUCUGCUGAGAGGAAAAAGCAUUGCUCUGAUCUCUGAUUGCUCCUGUUCUCAACCUGUACCAGGUUGAGAGAGCUCAUUUCUGGUUUGGGGGCAAGCUUUUCCCAGUUCAUUUGUUUUACUGCAGUUAGAACCUCCCAUAUUUUUACACUUCACAAAUUAUACCUGAAAAUUUUUAAGUCACCAUGGUAACUGUCUCUCCAGCAUCAUUCCCUGGACACUGAAGAAUGAGGGAAUUGACAUAUAUCAACAGGGAGGGGGUGGGAGUUGUUUUAUUAUUGCUGCUCUCUCAAGCCAGUAGGAAAGUGCUCUAAUACCUGUGAUCAGGAGGAUUAGUGAUACCUCAAGUUUGGGAUGUAAGAGGGUGGAUCCUGCUAUGCCAUUUAUUUCUAGUCUGUGCAAGAAGUUAUUGUGGCUGGUACCAGUAUGGUGGAAAAGGGCGAUGGAAAAUGGAGAAUUGAUGCAAGAAAUAAUGUGCCGGUAGAACAAAGGGACUUUCUGACAUGGGAGAUUCAGGAGAGUUUAGAAAUAGUACCCAACUUAAGAUUCAAUUGAGGGCUGGGCUGUGGCUCAGUGGUAAAGUGCUCACCUACCAUGCAUGAGGCACUGGGUUCGAUCCUCAGCACCACAUGAAAAUAAAAUGAAGAUCUUGUAUCCACCUAUAAUUAAAAAAUAAAUAUUUUUUUAAAUGUUUCAAUUGAGGAUGGGGGUAUAGCUCAGCAGUAGAGCAUAUAGUUAGUAUUCUGAGUUUGAUCCCCAGCAUCAAGAUUUGAUUGAACAACUGGUGAAUGAUGAAUCCAUUCCACAAAAGAGAGGAAAUUGAAGGAGG
RNAcentral lists this long non-coding RNA (18338 nucleotides) under Marmota monax (woodchuck). The record is from RNAcentral. Lineage: Eukaryota; Metazoa; Chordata; Mammalia; Rodentia; Sciuridae.